Molecule: ribosomal RNA, 442 nt
Filed under: uncultured bacterium
Lineage: Bacteria
Description: partial 16S ribosomal RNA
Rfam family: Bacterial small subunit ribosomal RNA
Source: RNAcentral
CCUACGGGAGGCAGCAGUGGGGGAUAUUGCACAAUGGGGGAAACCCUGAUGCAGCGACGCCGCGUGGGAGAAGAAGUAUUUCGGUAUGUAAAGCCCUAUCAGCAGGGAAGAAGAAAUGACGGUACCUGAGUAAGAAGCACCGGCUAAAUACGUGCCAGCAGCCGCGGUAAUACGUAGGGUGCAAGCGUUAUCCGGAUUUACUGGGUGGAAAGGGAGCGCAGGGGGCACGGCAAGCCUGAUGUGAAAGCCCGCGGCCCAACCGCGGGACUGCAUUGGGAACUACCGGGCUGGAGUGCCGGAGAGGUAGGCGGAAUUCCUAGUGUAGCGGUGAAAUGCGUAGAUAUUAGGAGGAACACCAGUGGCGAAGGCGGCCUACUGGACGGUGACUGACGCUGAGGCUCGAAAGCGUGGGGAGCAAACAGGAUUAGAUACCCUAGUAGUC